AGGAUGAACGCUGGCGGCGUGCUUAACACAUGCAAGUCGAACGGAGAAACGGUAGCUUGCUAUCUUUUUUAGUGGCGGACGGGUGAGUAACGCGUGGGUAACCUGCCCUUUGCAGGGGGAUAACAGUGAGAAAUCGCUGCUAAUACCGCAUACCAACUUCUUUCGCAUGAAAGAAGUUUGAAAGAUUUAUCGGCAAAGGAUGGACCCGCGUUGGAUUAGCUAGUUGGUGAGAUAACAGCCCACCAAGGCAACGAUCCAUAGCCGGCCUGAGAGGGUGAACGGCCACACUGGGACUGAGACACGGCCCAGACUCCUACGGGAGGCAGCAGUGGGGAAUAUUGCACAAUGGGCGAAAGCCUGAUGCAGCGACGCCGCGUGAAGGAUGAAGGUCUUCGGAUUGUAAACUUCUAUCAGCAGGGAAGAAAGGGCUUAUAGCCUAUGACGGUACCUGACUAAGAAGCCCCGGCUAACUACGUG
Molecule: ribosomal RNA, 477 nt
Filed under: uncultured bacterium
Lineage: Bacteria
Description: bacterial SSU rRNA
Rfam family: Bacterial small subunit ribosomal RNA
Source: RNAcentral